Long non-coding RNA from Seriola aureovittata, 1270 nucleotides. RefSeq lists it as uncharacterized. The record is from RefSeq and is a predicted model, not a curated record. The transcript is spliced from 5 exons. Lineage: Eukaryota; Metazoa; Chordata; Actinopteri; Carangiformes; Carangidae.
GGAUCAGUCCCAGAAUGACCAUUUCAGCUGAGGCAGUCCAGAUGACAGAGCUCCAGCUGACUCCAGGCCAGUUCAGCGGGGAGAAGCACAGCUGAGACCUGCAGCAGGGAAUCCUUGUGUGGAGCUUGAGUCCAGGCUGGGGCUGAUCGCUGGCAGGACCAUCCCUCAUCCUGAUACCGCAUGGAGCUAGCCCCAGCGACUCACUGUCACCUCCAAUCUGCCCUGAAGAAGUAGUGCUGCUCAAAGGGCGUACUAUAACCUCUUGUCUUGUGACAAUGGUCGCAGCUCUUCACCACUACCCAAUCUCGCUUUGCAGGCACCUCUCCUCUUCAUUCAUCACACAGCCUGAGCAAGUGACCGGGGAAUGACCUCGCUUGCACGCACACACAAAACACUUUGUACACACACACACACACACACACACACAAAUCCACAAACACGGUAUCAACUCGCACAAAAGCAUGAUUCAUUUAUCACAAACGAUGGAUACCUUGGAACACAUGCUCAAACAUGCACGUGCAUACGCUCACACAUAGACACACACCUAAAUGCACGCACACUCACACGUGGCGGUUCCUAUCACAUCCGUUACAGAUGGGUUCUCCUCCUCCUCAGUCCUAAAUGAAUAUAAAUAUGUCUGUUUGACAUCAUUCAUCUGCCAGAGAGGAGCACAUUUACCGUAUCCAGCCAAAAGAGGCAGUGUUACUCUCUCCUCCGCUGGGGAGGCAUGCAUAUGGAAAAAGGGAACCUGGAAAGGAGAAUGGGAGAAGGGAUGAAAAGACUCGCAGAGAUAAGGAUGAUCCAAGGGCAUCCAAUAAGCCUGCUUGCAUUCACAAUAAAGCAUUUGAAAGCCCAUUAGCUGCACUUUCCAGCGCCGUAAAGCCAACAGCAAUCUGAUAUCAUCAGUAACAGUCCGUGAGAAGAUGACGUCCAGACGACAAGUGAGAUGUGGACAGACUAAAGGAGCUGAGAGGAGGAAGAGAUAUCGGUGAUGGGAACAAAUUGGAACAAAAUGGCGGGUGAUAUGCCACUGGGACAUGCUUAGGGAGAUGUCAUACAGGCCAGUGGCAAGAAUUUACAGAAGAAGGCAUAUCAUAAUCAUGUGGUGUCAUAGAUAAUAAUCGAUUAAGGAAGUUAUCCUCUGCAUGUUAUUUAUGUUGGGAAUUGAAAAAGAAAGUAAUACACCUGUUGAGAGACGUGUCGUGUCAGAUGUAAAAGACGUUUCAGGUCAUGAAAAGAUCCUUUCAGUUAUCAUCUGAACACCAUUAAA